AGAGCUAAUACAUGCCACGAAGCCCUGACCCCGCUCGUGGGGAAUGGGUGCACUUAUUAGAACAGAAGCCAACCAGUCCUUCGGGGGUGGGCUGUAGAACUUCUGGUGACUCUGGAUAAUUGUUACAGAUCGCAGUCGGCUUUAGUCGGCGACGGGUCCUUCAAAUGUCUGCCCUAUCAACUUUCGAUGGUAGGUGACCUGCCUACCAUGGUGAUAACGGGUAACGGGGAAUCAGGGUUCGAUUCCGGAGAGGGAGCCUGAGAAACGGCUACCACUUCCAAGGGAGGCAGCAGGCGCGCAAAUUACCCACUCCCGGUACGGGGAGGUGGUGACGAAAAAUACCGAUGCGGGACUCAUUAACGAGGCUCCGUAAUCGGAAUGAGUGGACUCUAAAUCCUUUCACGAGGAUCAAUUGGAGGGCAAGUCUGGUGCCAGCAGCCGCGGUAACUCCAGCUCCAAUAGCGUAUAUUAAAGUUGCUGCAGUUAAAAAGCUCGUAGUUGGAUCUCGGUAGCAUUGUUGCCUGCUCAGUUGUCAUGCACUGCGGCGUGCAUCACAUCGUGCUAUCCACGCUGUGGUGGGCUCGCGGUGGGUGUACACUAAAACCGUAGUGUUUUGAGCUGGCGUGGCGAUGGUGUCACCUUUGAGCCAUGUCUGUGGCUUAACGGUCACAGGUGUAAUCGAGUGUCGGGCAGUGCUCUGCACCCGCUGUGGGGCCUGCCGGCUCGUUUGCAUGCCAAUGAAUGCCCUUCAAAAGGUGUUCAUGGGCGGAUGGCACGUUUACUUUGAACAAAUUUGAGUGCUCAAAUCAGGCCGAUGUCGCCUGAAAAGUUUUGCAUGGAAUAAUGGAAUAGGACUUCGGUUCUAUUUCGUUGGUUUUCGGAUCCGAAGUAAUGAUCAAAAGAGACAGGCGGGGACGUUUGUAUGGCUGCGUUAGAGGUGAAAUUCAUGGAUCGUAGCCAGACAGACUAAAGCGAAAGCAUUCGUCAAGCAUGUUUUCAUUGGCCAUGAGCGAAAGUCAGAGGCUCGAAGACGAUCAGAUACCGUCCUAGUUCUGACCAUAAACGAUGCCAACUGACGAUCCGUGGCGGUAGUUUAAACCUUCCCCACGGGCAGUCCCCGGGAAACCUUUAAGUCUUUGGGUUCCGGGGGAAGUAUGGUUGCAAAGCUGAAACUUAAAGGAAUUGACGGAAGGGCACCACCAGGAGUGGAGCCUGCGGCUUAAUUUGACUCAACACGGGAAAACUCACCCGGGCCGGACACUAUGAGGAUUGACAGAUUGAUAGCUCUUUCUUGAUUUGGUGGUUGGUGGUGCAUGGCCGUUCUUAGUUGGUGGAGCGAUUUGUCUGGUUAAUUCCGAUAACGAACGAGACUCCAGCCUGCUAAUUAGUGCAUUUGUCCACUGUACCAGCCGAGCGGCGCAGAUGUGGGAUCCAUUGCGUGUGGCUGGCCUGCUGCUCGCCACGUUAGCUAGCAGGUGCGGCGCGAAUGCUUACUUCUUAGAGGGACACGCGGAGGAAACCGCACGAAAUAGAGCAAUAACAGGUCUGUGAUGCCCUUAGAUGUCCGGGGCCGCACGCGCGCUACAAUGGCGGUGUCAACGAGUCAGACCUUCUGGCCUGAAAAGGUUGGGUAAACUGGUCAAUCACCGUCAUGACAGGGAUCGGGGCUUGGAAUUGUUCCCCGUGAACGAGGAAUUCCUAGUAAGUGCAAGUCAUAAGCUUGCGCUGAUUACGUCCCUGCCCUUUGUACACACCGCCCGUCGCUACUACCGAUUGAAUGGUUUAGUAAGGUCCUUGCAUUUAGGUU
This 1807-nucleotide ribosomal RNA is filed under the name Staphylocystis furcata. Its description in RNAcentral is "SSU rRNA". It matches the Rfam family "Eukaryotic small subunit ribosomal RNA", at positions 160 to 1722 of the family's 1831-position model. The record is from RNAcentral. Lineage: Eukaryota; Metazoa; Platyhelminthes; Cestoda; Cyclophyllidea; Hymenolepididae.